This is a long non-coding RNA of Oncorhynchus tshawytscha (Chinook salmon), 1362 nucleotides long. NCBI's taxonomy places the organism in Eukaryota, Metazoa, Chordata, Actinopteri, Salmoniformes, Salmonidae. The record is from Ensembl.
UGGCGAAGAAGUGGGAUGAGUGGGAGCCUGUCUGAUGCAAAAAUGAACACAUUUAUAGCUGACAAGUUUGCUAAAAGGCUUCCAUCAAAGUGAGUGAUUUCCUCAUAAUCUUUCCUCUCUCUUCACAUGCCAGAAAAUCUAGAGCUCCUGCUGUUCUACUCUUCUCUUUCCAAUGACUGCUGACCCUCAAGGCUCCCCACUGAUGGCGCAAGGUACUGGAGGGGUAACCGAUGGAGCAAAUGCAACAAAUUUGGCAGUUAACCCAGCACCAACUGCUGCCAUGUUUGAACGGUUGCCACAGUGACCAGGAGGCCCACACGGUGAGGUUUGGGCUUUCCGUUUUUCACACCCGUGGCACCAAGGGAGGAAAAGCAGAUUGGGAUAGGAGGUGUUGGUUACAGUGGAACCGGAGACCUAGAGAACACAACACAAUAAAACAUGAUGGGGAGAGGUGUUUCCAACUCUUAAAAGGAGGAUCCAAGAUUGGAUAGCCUGUCCAUCAUUUCAUCCAGCAUGGUAUCCUAUCUCUACUCCCUGUGCUGUGAACCUUAUCCAGAGUACUGGGAUUAUUUCAACUCAUCCAAAUUGUUUAGUAUCGCCAUGAAAUAACACAUAGGGAAAGGGGUGUCUUGAAAUUGUAUGUAUGAAGCUGAAAAAGCAAGGCUUAGUUUGUGAUAUGCAGAAGACAUGGUGAAUCUUUUGGCACAGAUAAGGCAUAUAGUACAUAAACCUAUUAGUCCACACACACACACACACACACACACACACACACACACACACACACACACACACACACACACACACACACCUGCUCCCAGGCCCCUCAGCCGCUGCCAUAGUAAAAGUGCAUGAUUUCUAGCUGCAGCCCUCUUAUGGGUCCUUCAGUUAAAAAAUAAAUAAAUAAAUAAAACAAGCCUAAUGCUUGUGAGUCAUUUUGAAAUCACCAUUUUAUAAUUUAUUUAUCUUUUUAUUGACAGCGGAAAAUUUGUGUCAUGUCAACUAGCCCCAGGGACCACUGUGAAAGUGCAGAGAGCAGAAAAUGUGGCUUGAGUUAGCCAGGCGGAUUAGCACUGAGUGCCUGACGAGGAAAACUACAAUGCAUCACUUGAAGGUUUACGUUUUUUCUAAAAUGUUUUCAUGUUUUUUUUGCGGUUGUGCUUCAUUAGGAUGACCAACGUAACAUUCUGGGAUAUUACAUUGUGUGGCAUGACAGCUCUAAGACUCAUUCCGUGGUAAAUGUUCCGCAACAUGCUGAUUUUGACUGUGAUUUACAGGUAAUGUGACUAAACCAUGAUGUUAAGGGCUUCUCAGCACACUUCAGCUCAGGUUGCAAAGUGCCCCCUAACCGCAGAUUUAAAAUCA